AAUACUACCAAUCUCCGAGCCUCGCUGCCUACUGGGAAGGUCCUUAUGGCGACAGGCCGACGGGUUCCGCUGGAAACAGUGGCGCCUCCCUUUUUGGAAAGGAGAUUUUACCCGGAACCA
The sequence is a regulatory RNA element, 120 nucleotides long. It matches the Rfam family "Molybdenum/Tungsten riboswitch aptamer (Moco RNA motif)". The record is from Rfam.